Equus caballus (horse) is the source of this 103-nucleotide small nuclear RNA. The record is from Ensembl. NCBI's taxonomy places the organism in Eukaryota, Metazoa, Chordata, Mammalia, Perissodactyla, Equidae.
GUACUUGCUUCAGCAGCACAUAUAUUAAAUUGGAAUGAUACAGGGAUGAUCCUGACCCCUGCACAAGGAUGACACAGAACUUUGUGAAACGUUCCACAAUUUU